Molecule: ribosomal RNA, 835 nt
Filed under: Kluyveromyces lactis
Lineage: Eukaryota; Fungi; Ascomycota; Saccharomycetes; Saccharomycetales; Saccharomycetaceae
Description: LSU rRNA
Rfam family: Eukaryotic large subunit ribosomal RNA
Source: RNAcentral
GGAGGAAAAGAAACCAACCGGGAUUGCCUUAGUAACGGCGAGUGAAGCGGCAAAAGCUCAAAUUUGAAAUCUGGCGUCUUCGACGUCCGAGUUGUAAUUUGAAGAAGGUAACUUUGUAGCUGGUCCUUGUCUAUGUUCCUUGGAACAGGACGUCAUAGAGGGUGAGAAUCCCGUGUGGCGAGGAUCCCAGUUAUUUGUAAAGUGCUUUCGACGAGUCGAGUUGUUUGGGAAUGCAGCUCUAAGUGGGUGGUAAAUUCCAUCUAAAGCUAAAUAUUGGCGAGAGACCGAUAGCGAACAAGUACAGUGAUGGAAAGAUGAAAAGAACUUUGAAAAGAGAGUGAAAAAGUACGUGAAAUUGUUGAAAGGGAAGGGCAUUUGAUCAGACAUGGCGUUUGCUUCGGCUUUCGCUGGGCCAGCAUCAGUUUUAGCGGUUGGAUAAAUCCUCGGGAAUGUGGCUCUGCUUCGGUAGAGUGUUAUAGCCCGUGGGAAUACAGCCAGCUGGGACUGAGGAUUGCGACUUUUGUCAAGGAUGCUGGCGUAAUGGUUAAAUGCCGCCCGUCUUGAAACACGGACCAAGGAGUCUAACGUCUAUGCGAGUGUUUGGGUGUAAAACCCGUACGCGUAAUGAAAGUGAACGUAGGUGAGGGCCCGCAAGGGUGCAUCAUCGACCGAUCCUGAUGUCUUCGGAUGGAUUUGAGUAAGAGCAUAGCUGUUGGGACCCGAAAGAUGGUGAACUAUGCCUGAAUAGGGUGAAGCCAGAGGAAACUCUGGUGGAGGCUCGUAGCGGUUCUGACGUGCAAAUCGAUCGUCGAAUUUGGGUAUAGGGGCGAAAGAC